RNAcentral lists this non-coding RNA (148 nucleotides) under Nomascus leucogenys (northern white-cheeked gibbon). Lineage: Eukaryota; Metazoa; Chordata; Mammalia; Primates; Hylobatidae. The record is from Rfam by way of RNAcentral.
GCCAGGUAUGGUGGCUCACACCUGUAAUCCCAGCUACUCAGGAGGCUGAGAGAGGAGGCUCACUUGAGCCCAGGAAGUUGAGGUUUCAGUGAGCUGAGAUCAUGCCACUGUACUCCAGCCUGGGCAACAGAGCAAGAUCCUAUCUCUA